Long non-coding RNA from Ostrinia furnacalis (Asian corn borer), 287 nucleotides. RefSeq lists it as uncharacterized. Lineage: Eukaryota; Metazoa; Arthropoda; Insecta; Lepidoptera; Crambidae. The transcript has 2 exons. The record is from RefSeq and is a predicted model, not a curated record.
GUGACAUCUCGAGGAUACCGCGGUAUUGAUGACAAAGAUGGGGACUAGCAAUGCAAAAAAGCAAAGGUUAACAUUUGUGGCGAUGCACUGCCUGAAGGAAUUCCACAACCUAAUCCGACAACAUGACUAACAGCGCUAUGCGAGCGCUGUGAAAGGGUCUCUUUGAGCUACAAUAACGUCGGAACUAAUAUGAGUAGAUGUAGACUGAUAAACAUACAUUCGUUUUGAAGAAUAGUUCAAAUACUAGAAAUACAGUGCAAAUAAAACAUACUUAUACGACUGUCUGU